Small nuclear RNA from Trichosurus vulpecula (common brushtail), 118 nucleotides. RefSeq annotates it as U5 spliceosomal RNA. Lineage: Eukaryota; Metazoa; Chordata; Mammalia; Diprotodontia; Phalangeridae. The record is from RefSeq and is a predicted model, not a curated record. The transcript has a single exon.
AGACCUUAGUUUAUCUUCAGAUCAAAUAAAUCUUUUGCCUUUUACUAAAGAUUUCCAAGGAUAGGAAUAACCAAGAGUUUUUGCCUAAUUUUUCAAGGCCUCAUUUCUACGUAUGUGU